GUCAGCAGCCAUACCACUCUGUAACUCACAACUGGCAACCCACUGAAGCUAAGCAGGUGUGAGCCUAGUCAGUACUUGGUGGGAGACCUCCAGGGAAAAACUAAGGUUGCUGCUGGAA
This 118-nucleotide ribosomal RNA is filed under the name Lepisosteus oculatus (spotted gar). Lineage: Eukaryota; Metazoa; Chordata; Actinopteri; Semionotiformes; Lepisosteidae. The record is from RNAcentral.